RNAcentral lists this ribosomal RNA (429 nucleotides) under Acidobacteriota bacterium. RNAcentral's name for it is "Acidobacteria bacterium partial 16S ribosomal RNA". It matches the Rfam family "Bacterial small subunit ribosomal RNA", at positions 355 to 776 of the family's 1533-position model. The record is from RNAcentral. Lineage: Bacteria; Pseudomonadati; Acidobacteriota.
UGGGGAAUUUUGGACAAUGGGGGAAACCCUGAUCCAGCCAUCCCGCGUGUGCGAUGAAGGCCUUCGGGUUGUAAAGCACUUUUGGCAGGAAAGAAACGUCAUGGGUUAAUACCCCGUGAAACUGACGGUACCUGCAGAAUAAGCACCGGCUAACUACGUGCCAGCAGCCGCGGUAAUACGUAGGGUGCAAGCGUUAAUCGGAAUUACUGGGCGUAAAGCGUGCGCAGGCGGUUCGGAAAGAAAGAUGUGAAAUCCCAGAGCUCAACUUUGGAACUGCAUUUUUAACUACCGGGCUAGAUUGUGUCAGAGGGAGGUGGAAUUCCGCGUGUAGCAGUGAAAUGCGUAGAUAUGCGGAGGAACACCGAUGGCGAAGGCAGCCUCCUGGGAUAACACUGACGCUCAUGCACGAAAGCGUGGGGAGCAAACAGG